CGAUCCCUGGCAAGUGUUUGAAUUUUAUUUGAAAAAUACCGAGCACGCAAAAUAAGUCUUUGAAAAUCACGAUGCACGUAAAAUUAAAUAAGCAGAACACGUUGAACGAGGCACCGUCUUGCACGACUGAACGUCAAAUAAAAAAGUAAAAACACGUUGAACGUGAAAUAAAAAACGGCGAUCACGUUGCACGAAAAUAACCCUUUACCACCCUCAUUAAAG
Molecule: long non-coding RNA, 222 nt
Filed under: Mytilus galloprovincialis (Mediterranean mussel)
Lineage: Eukaryota; Metazoa; Mollusca; Bivalvia; Mytilida; Mytilidae
Source: RNAcentral